UAUUAGUACCGAUCUGGUAGACACUGUGUUAGUCAGCUGCUUGUUUACCUCGUAUAGUAGUACUACACCGAUCAAUGACUGGACUUCAAAGGGCUGUUUGGUGGACAGAAUAUGUCAUCAGGCACAAGGAAACGAGCCACUUUACCAGCCCUACAGUUGAUAUCACCUGGGUGGAAUAUUUGUUGUUAGACAUUAUCGUGUUUGUGGUUGGUGUACUUUUAGUGACUGUGUACAUAUUAAAUAAGGCUAUAAAUUUCCUGAUUUACUGGUUUACAUGCAGGAAGGUUAAAGUUAGCUAAUAUUUUUGGCAGAUCAGUUUGUGAUGUUUUUAUUUAUUAAUAUUUGUCGAAUUGUUGUAUCAAUAUAUUUUGCACGAAUUAACGUAUGCAUUCAUAUGUUUAUUUAUUUUAAAACUGACGGGGUAAGAGAAAUUGACAGAACAGAUAUUGUAUUUUUUUAAUUUCGUGUAAAUGUAAUUUUGCGUGUUGCUCUGUGUCAAGGGCGAUGUCAGUCAAGAAAGCAAGACAUUUCUUUCAAAAUUACGUUAUUUAAUAAUUACAAUAUGUUAGGUUUUUGAAUAAAUGUUAUUUAGGCAUGUUA
Long non-coding RNA from Anoplophora glabripennis (Asian longhorned beetle), 600 nucleotides. RefSeq lists it as uncharacterized. Lineage: Eukaryota; Metazoa; Arthropoda; Insecta; Coleoptera; Cerambycidae. The record is from RefSeq and is a predicted model, not a curated record. The transcript is spliced from 2 exons.